UACAAGAAAUACGAGUAUUGGUAGCAGUUCGCGGUAGCACGAAUUCUCGAACUGCUACUAAAAAUGUCAAAACUCAGAUCCUAACUUUAUCAUACCAUUAAAUAAACGCUACACCGGAUUUUCAUUAAGCGGGAAAUCAAAAACCCACUUUCGAGUCUGUUUUUAUUUGGUAACAUUUUGAACCGCCAACACUUUGGGAAAUUUUGGUUUUCACACCAAAACUUUUUGUGUUUGGGAUUUUUUUUGUUUUUGCCAAGUCCUUUCUUCAUCUCAACAAAAAAAAAAUCAUUCAUGUCUAGAGAAAAAGGUCAAUUCUUUUUCCACUCGAUGUAUUGAUCUCAAACCCAGACUAGGCACAGCUCCGGCGACGCUUCUAUUCUGGCAAUCCCAAGCCUCUGCUUCUGCGAAACCCUAGACGUUGGAGGUGAAGAAGACCUGCUACUCUUCAAUGGCAGAAGUAGAGAACACUAAUUCUAUCCGGUCUCAGAAGACGAGAUGGCAAGCUACGAGCCUGGAGACGGGUAGAACUUCUUCCGCCUCUCUCUCUGUCUGUUCGAUUCGAUCUCAUAUAUAUUUCUCCAUCGCUGCUUCUCUGUCUAUUUCAAGUUCCGUUGAUUCUUCUUCUUCGUCGGGGACUAUUGAUUCAGUUACUCCAAGAGACCUGAUGCAACUGCAGAUUUGAGUGGUGCUAUUGAGGCUGGAAACAAGGAGGACAUUGAGAAGUACAGCAAAUGAACUGUGAAGUUAUUAUACCAUCCACUUCAAAGCAAUUGAACCAAGUACUCUUAUUAGUACAUCUACAAUAUCCCACUCUCCAGAUUGCAGAACAAUCUUCGCUCUGUGGUUGCUGUAACAGACUCGGAGUUGCUCUAUAAUCAG
Long non-coding RNA from Raphanus sativus (radish), 879 nucleotides. RefSeq lists it as uncharacterized. The transcript has 3 exons. The record is from RefSeq and is a predicted model, not a curated record. Lineage: Eukaryota; Viridiplantae; Streptophyta; Magnoliopsida; Brassicales; Brassicaceae.